CCUACGGGUGGCAGCAGUGGGGAAUAUUGGGCAAUGGGCGCAAGUCUGACCCAGCAACGCCGCGUGAAGGAAGAAGGCCCUCGGGUUGUAAACUUCUUUUAUUCGGGACGAAACAAAUGACGGUACCGAAUGAAUAAGCCACGGCUAACUACGUGCCAGCAGCCGCGGUAAUACGUAGGUGGCAAGCGUUAUCCGGAUUUACUGGGUGUAAAGGGCGUGUAGGCGGGAGAGCAAGUCAGACGUGAAAUUCCAGGGCUCAACCCUGGAACUGCGUUUGAAACUGUUCUUCUUGAGUGAUGGAGAGGCAGGCGGAAUUCCGUGUGUAGCGGUGAAAUGCGUAGAUAUACGGAGGAACACCAGUGGCGAAGGCAGCAUACCGGCGCCCAACUGACGCUGAAGCACGAAAGCGUGGGUAUCGAACAGGAUUAGAUACCCUGGUAGUC
This 443-nucleotide ribosomal RNA is filed under the name uncultured bacterium. RNAcentral describes it as "partial 16S ribosomal RNA". It matches the Rfam family "Bacterial small subunit ribosomal RNA", at positions 338 to 795 of the family's 1533-position model. The record is from RNAcentral.